AACGCACGAGACCUGCGGACCUGCGGAGGGAUCAUUAUCGAGUUAGGGUCUUCCUGGCCCGACCUCCCAACCCCAUGUUUACAAAACCUCUUGUUGCUUCGGCGCGCCCGUCUCAGGACCGCCGGGGGACUCUAAGAACGUCCCCUGGUCUGCGCCCGCCGGUGGCCAAACUUGUACAAAUUCUGAUCAAAGCGUGUCACCUGUCUGAGUACCAUGAAAUAAAGCAAAACUUUUAACAAU
This 240-nucleotide unclassified non-coding RNA is filed under the name soil metagenome. RNAcentral's name for it is "partial contains 5.8S ribosomal RNA, internal transcribed spacer 2, and large subunit ribosomal RNA". The record is from RNAcentral.